CAAACGACUCUCGGCAACGGAUAUCUCGGCUCACGCAUCGAUGAAGAACGUAGCAAAAUGCGAUACUUGGUGUGAAUUGCAGAAUCCCGUGAACCAUCGAGUUUUUGAACGCAAGUUGCGCCCGAAGCCUUUUGGCCAAGGGCACGUCUGCCUGGGCGUCACAC
Molecule: ribosomal RNA, 164 nt
Filed under: Senecio scandens
Lineage: Eukaryota; Viridiplantae; Streptophyta; Magnoliopsida; Asterales; Asteraceae
Also listed under: 5 other names
Description: 5.8S ribosomal RNA
Rfam family: 5.8S ribosomal RNA
About the family: 5.8S ribosomal RNA (5.8S rRNA) is a component of the large subunit of the eukaryotic ribosome.
Source: RNAcentral